This 22-nucleotide non-coding RNA is filed under the name Arabidopsis thaliana (thale cress). The record is from RNAcentral. Lineage: Eukaryota; Viridiplantae; Streptophyta; Magnoliopsida; Brassicales; Brassicaceae.
GUUAGUUUUACCCUACUGAUGC